CCUGUUCUCCUGCUGGCCUGGCCUGCCCCAGCCAAGGGAGGUGCACAGGGGACUCUUGCACAUCAUUGGUCUGAGAAGGUCUCCAUGCCCUUAAAGAGAAGGUGGAUUUUCUGCUGAGCCACCCGAGAAGCCCUUUUAUACCUCCUUACUCAGCCAGCUGCCUGCGGCUCGUCUGUCCAUCCUGUCCAGCCAGCACGGCUCUGAUUUUCUCCAGACUUGGGCUCACAACCAUCUAAACCAAGAUGUCUGAGUAAG
Oenanthe melanoleuca is the source of this 255-nucleotide long non-coding RNA. RefSeq lists it as uncharacterized. The record is from RefSeq and is a predicted model, not a curated record. The transcript is spliced from 2 exons. NCBI's taxonomy places the organism in Eukaryota, Metazoa, Chordata, Aves, Passeriformes, Muscicapidae.